This 381-nucleotide unclassified non-coding RNA is filed under the name Demospongiae sp. GW30057. RNAcentral describes it as "sequence contains 28S rRNA gene". Lineage: Eukaryota; Metazoa; Porifera; Demospongiae. The record is from RNAcentral.
GUCCGGGGUGCCGAGGCGGUCCGUCCCUCGGGAGUUCAGCGGGCCCCUAGCGGGGACCGUGCACUCUCCCGUGGGACUCGGUGACCGUCAGCUUGUGCGAGGCCCGUCUUCGAGCGUCCGACGGGGAGGUGCCGUCUCUGCCCCUCGGGGAGAGACGGACGUACAGCCCGACGGCGGCGUCGACGUGGCUCUCGCUCGGGAGUGAAGCGGGACUUCGUUCCGCGUGGUGACAGGUGCGGUGCCUCCUCCGGGAGGCAGCGGGCUCCGGCCGCGGUUCUCCUCUCGGGCUUCGGACUUUCCGUCGGGUGGUCGCGUCCUCGCGGCGCGUCCGUCCUUCGGUUCCGGRGUUCGAGAGUGUUCCGCGGUCGUCGGUCUCGUCGG